Molecule: long non-coding RNA, 1148 nt
Organism: Triticum dicoccoides
Lineage: Eukaryota; Viridiplantae; Streptophyta; Magnoliopsida; Poales; Poaceae
Exons: 7
Source: RefSeq, a predicted model, not a curated record
GCGCCCAACUAGCGGCACCAGCCACGUCUCCUUUUAUUCGCCACUGUAGCAACGCGGAGAGAGCUCGUCCCCUCCUCUGCCCCCCUCCACUUCUCCCCUCCUCUGCCCCUCUGCCCCCCUCCACUUCUCUCCUCCUCUGCCCCCGCGUCCGUCCCGGCGGCAGCAACUUGCAGGCAAAGGGCGACGGCGGUCAAGGCGGGGGUUGGCGGCAGCUGGAAGGGCCGCAGCGGCCUGUGGGGCGUCGACCAAACCGGCAGUGACCCCGAUGGAGGGGAAGGGCCCGGCAGGCGCCACGGCAGCGCACGCGAGGGGCGGAGGCGAGCGACCCUCUGGAGCCGCGCACGUUGAUAGAUUCCAGAUCGGGCGCGGGUCGAGCAGGAGCGGCUGCUGCAGAGAGGGCAGCAGAGGAACACAUCAUGCUGAGCUCCUGCCCCUGUGGCUACCCGCAGAGGAGGAGAGGUUGAAUAUGGCUCCCAGUUCAUGGCAGAGAGGCCGACACAAAUAUUGUUUGGGUGACGGUUGAUUCCUACACCGAGUCGUCUUUCUAUACAAAUAGCUCUCUUAUUUGGUGGUGCCAUGGUGUCCCUCUCCAGCCUUUUCUUGCGCAGGUUCUGCAGCGGGCAAUGCUCCAGUUAAGAGUUGGGUGCAUAGCAUAUAUAUACGUAUGUUGCCACGUCUGAAUAAACGGAGAGGAGCAGCAGCGGAGAGGAGAUCUUGCUGAGUAACCAUAAUUGUUUGAAGAUUAGCAGAUUUCUCUGAAUGUGCAAGCAGCCAUUGCUACCAAAAGAGAAUGAAAGUAGUGCAAAGGGCCAAUGUUGCAUAGCCUUUACCCACUCUGCACUGUCGUAACAUCUCAAGUAGCGACUACUCCCGGUACAUCUUCUGUUGAUCACGAGCAACACCAAGAGAUAUCUUUGCUAUUUGCAGUGGCUUGUUGGGUUUGAAGGAUGAAGCAAAUCCCAAGGAAGGAACAUGUUAACCUAUCUUGAUGCGUACUGCUGCUCUUGAUACGCAUCAAGAUUUGAUUUAGAUGAAGCUAAUAAUGAAAAGUGUCAUCAGUGUGCUGUUAUAUGUAUUAUCGACCAAUACAUGUCUAGCAUUACUCGGAUAACAUUUCAUUAAUAGAAAAUUGUUUAAUGUGGAUUUCC